Molecule: ribosomal RNA, 588 nt
Filed under: uncultured eukaryote
Lineage: Eukaryota
Description: eukaryotic LSU rRNA
Rfam family: 5.8S ribosomal RNA (bases 182-335)
Source: RNAcentral
AACAAGGUCUCCGUUGGUGAACCAGCGGAGGGAUCAUUAUCGAGUUAUUCAACUCCCAAACCCUAUGUGAACUUACCACUUGUUGCUUCGGCGCGCGCUUCGGCGCCGCCGAGGACACUUAAACUCUUUGUUUUUAUAAGCAUUUCUGAGUGGCCGAAAGGCAAAAAUACAAAUGAAUCAAAACUUUCAACAACGGAUCUCUUGGUUCUGGCAUCGAUGAAGAACGCAGCGAAAUGCGAUAAGUAAUGUGAAUUGCAGAAUUCAGUGAAUCAUCGAAUCUUUGAACGCACAUUGCGCCCGCCAGCAUUCUGGCGGGCAUGCCUGUUCGAGCGUCAUUUCAACCCUCGAGCCCGACUCUUUUGAGGACGGCUCGGCGUUGGGGGACGGCAGACUCCCCCCGGCAUCUCGCCGGGGACGCCGCCCCCGAAAUCUAGUGGCGGCCCUCCGAGGCGACCUCUGCGUAGUAACUUGUUCUCGCACCGGAAAGCUCAGAGCGGCCACGCCGUAAAACCCCAACUUUUUUCAGGUUGACCUCGAAUCAGGUAGGACUACCCGCUGAACUUAAGCAUAUCAAUAAGCGGAGGAAAG